GGGUUGUGAGGUUAAGCGACUAAGCGUACACGGUGGAUGCCCUGGCAGUCAGAGGCGAUGAAGGACGUGCUAAUCUGCGAUAAGCGUCGGUGAGGUGAUAUGAACCGUUAUAACCGGCGAUUUCCGAAUGGGGAAACCCAGUGUGUUUCGACACACUAUCAUUAACUGAAUCCAUAGGUUAAUGAGGCGAACCGGGGGAACUGAAACAUCUAAGUACCCCGAGGAAAAGAAAUCAACCGAGAUUCCCCCAGUAGCGGCGAGCGAACGGGGAGGAGCCCAGAGCCUGAAUCAGUGUGUGUGUUAGUGGAAGCGUCUGGAAAGGCGUGCGAUACAGGGUGACAGCCCCGUACACAAAAAUGCACAUAUUGUGAGCUCGAUGAGUAGGGCGGGACACGUGGUAUCCUGUCUGAAUAUGGGGGGACCAUCCUCCAAGGCUAAAUACUCCUGACUGACCGAUAGUGAACCAGUACCGUGAGGGAAAGGCGAAAAGAACCCCGGCGAGGGGAGUGAAAAAGAACCUGAAACCGUGUACGUACAAGCAGUGGGAGCCUCUUAAUGGGGUGACUGCGUACCUUUUGUAUAAUGGGUCAGCGACUUAUAUUCUGUAGCAAGGUUAACCGAAUAGGGGAGCCGAAGGGAAACCGAGUCUUAACUGGGCGUUAAGUUGCAGGGUAUAGACCCGAAACCCGGUGAUCUAGCCAUGGGCAGGUUGAAGGUUGGGUAACACUAACUGGAGGACCGAACCGACUAAUGUUGAAAAAUUAGCGGAUGACUUGUGGCUGGGGGUGAAAGGCCAAUCAAACCGGGAGAUAGCUGGUUCUCCCCGAAAGCUAUUUAGGUAGCGCCUCGUGAAUUCAUCUCCGGGGGUAGAGCACUGUUUCGGCAAGGGGGUCAUCCCGACUUACCAACCCGAUGCAAACUGCGA
Molecule: ribosomal RNA, 925 nt
Filed under: Escherichia coli
Lineage: Bacteria; Pseudomonadati; Pseudomonadota; Gammaproteobacteria; Enterobacterales; Enterobacteriaceae
Also listed under: 1 other name
Description: partial 23S ribosomal RNA
Rfam family: Bacterial large subunit ribosomal RNA
Source: RNAcentral